Molecule: long non-coding RNA, 912 nt
Organism: Alosa sapidissima (American shad)
Lineage: Eukaryota; Metazoa; Chordata; Actinopteri; Clupeiformes; Clupeidae
Exons: 2
Source: RefSeq, a predicted model, not a curated record
AGAACAUGUUGAUCAUUUCAAGCAAAGAUAUGUGAGCAUUUUCUAAAUGGAAUCAAAGAUCAUGUGACGUCAAUCUUCCUUGAUGUCAAACUUCCUUUAGUGCAGUAGAAUGGGGAACAAACAACACUUGUCGAAACUUGUCUAUUAUCACAAUUUCAAGCUGCUGUUUAUUGGGAACUGUCUUCGGCUGUCACUCAAACUCUGUUUUAAAUCUAUUCAUCUAUGUAAAUUCUUUCUAAAAUAAUUCUCAUCUUUAUUUACAUGUGUAUUUGUGUGGUGUUGCACUAUGACAGGACCUUCAGCAGAACUCCAUCUCAGGGUGCUGCUAAAUUAUAGUAUUGGCCAUUGGUCAAUUACCAAAAGCACUAAAUGUAGUGGCAAUUUUAAAGUCAGCAUAACUUGAGUAGACACGUACUGUUUAUUAUUCAAGUGAAGUAGUUGAUGAGUUUUAAAAAAAAAAAAAAAAAACAACUUCUGUUACAACAAAGAUGGAAUGCACAUUUUUAAAGGCAAUAGUUGACCUUUGUCUGAUUAGAGUUAUCAUGUAAUUGAUCCUGCCAUAAUUCCAAACCUCAUGCAAAUAAUUUUCAUGCAAACAAGAGGUGUGAUUAAGACGAAAAAGGGCUUGAGUAGAACAUCUCAACACUCAACAAAAAGAGAUGAUACUUGAGACAAGUAAACCUUCGGUAUGUUUGUUGGGUAUGGAGUUGAGUAUGAAGUUGUUUUACAUCCUCUUUAAGGUUUCAAAUUAAAUGAGUUAUUUGGGUAUUAAAAACAUGCCAUUUCUGUUAGCUAGCAGAAGCAUUCCUGUAUUAUGGACUGAAAUGUGGAGUUUGGAUUUGUGUCGUAUGUUAUGCUUGUGUUUUUUGCAGAUUUCUGGAAGUCUCUUGAAUGACUGAAUAUAAAUCAGUU